This 906-nucleotide long non-coding RNA is filed under the name Capsicum annuum. RNAcentral describes it as "long non-coding RNA (CANN_LNC001543)". Lineage: Eukaryota; Viridiplantae; Streptophyta; Magnoliopsida; Solanales; Solanaceae. The record is from RNAcentral.
GGCUCUAAACUAAAUAAACACAACUAAAUAACGAUGGGCUCCUAAUUAGCCUCAAGUUCUGGAGCACGUCAGUACCUCACAGAACCCAAAAUCAUUGCACAAGAUCAACUGCCAAGAGUGGUGCUCGAACUAGGAUCUACACCAAAAGACCAUAGUAGGGAUGAGUAUAGUCCACUUGUACUCAGAAGGUAUCAUAGAUCUUUUUUGCAGAAACAUGACUUUUAGAGUCGCCACUUAAUUUAUUAAGGAAAAUCAAGAAAACCUUUAUAAAUUACUUUAAAAAUUCAAAACAGAAAAAUCAUUUAAGUUUCAAAAUUCUAGGUAAGUGAUUCUCAUUAACAUUUUAGGAAGGUUUUUAAGGCACCUAAAAUGUCCGCUAACUUGCGGUUAUCCAGAUUUUUUGAAAAUAAUUUUUCUUUUGACUAACUUUUAAAAGAAAAAUUGCUUUUUUGAAAGAAAGAAAGUGAAAACAAACUUGUUUAAGAAUCAAUUUGCCGACUUAAUAGAGAAUUUAACUAAGUCUAAACAAAUAAAGUCGCAAAUAAGUAUGUAAAGGGGAGAGGGAGAAAUAAAGGACUUAGGUUCGUAAGCCCAAAUCCAUUAUCCCUGUCCUAAUCUAAUUGGCUUUUGGCCCGCUUGCACCUGUCCUAAUCUAAAUAUCGGGCUUUUGGCCCAUAACCUGUCCUAAACUAUUUUUUUCAGACCCUUUGGCCCAGAAUCGGCUUCAUCUGUAUUAGUUUACAACUUUUGCUUUGAGGCUCAAAUGAAUAAAUAAUGAAAUAAAUAAAUAAAUAAAUAAAUAGAAAAAAGGACUAUAAUAACUAAAAGGAAAAAUGAUACUUUAAAGUCUCUUAGCCACUUCAAUGAUGGGAAUUUCAUCUAUUUUCCUUCUUCCGACUUCUCGUA